RNAcentral lists this unclassified non-coding RNA (200 nucleotides) under soil metagenome. RNAcentral describes it as "partial contains internal transcribed spacer 2 and large subunit ribosomal RNA". The record is from RNAcentral.
UUCGAGCGUCAUUUCAACCCCUCAAGCCUCGGCUUGGUCUUGGAGCCUGCGGUCUCGCAGCCCCUAAACUCAGUGGCGGUGCUAUUGAGCUCUGAGCGUAGUAAAUCUCCUCGCUAUAGAGCCUUAGUAGUUGCUUGCCAAUAACCCCCAAUUUUUAUUAGGUUGACCUCGGAUCAGGUAGGGAUACCCGCUGAACUUAA